This 253-nucleotide ribosomal RNA is filed under the name uncultured bacterium. Its description in RNAcentral is "partial 16S ribosomal RNA". It matches the Rfam family "Bacterial small subunit ribosomal RNA", at positions 524 to 776 of the family's 1533-position model. The record is from RNAcentral.
UACAGAGGUCUCAAGCGUUGUUCGGAUUCAUUGGGCGUAAAGGGUGCGUAGGUGGUUGAGUAAGUCAGGUGUGAAAGCUCUGGGCUUAACCCAGGAAUUGCAUCUGAUACUGCUCGGCUUGAGUACGGUAGAGGAGGGUGGAAUUCCCAGUGUAGCGGUGAAAUGCGUAGAUAUGUGGAGGAAUACCGAUGGCGAAGGCAGCCCCCUGGGAUAACACUGACGCUCAUGCACGAAAGCGUGGGGAGCAAACAGG